This is a long non-coding RNA of Callithrix jacchus (white-tufted-ear marmoset), 2063 nucleotides long. RefSeq lists it as uncharacterized. The record is from RefSeq and is a predicted model, not a curated record. NCBI's taxonomy places the organism in Eukaryota, Metazoa, Chordata, Mammalia, Primates, Cebidae.
CUGUGCGGAGGCCCGCCGCGGACGCUAGGGUGCCGAGCACGCCCUGAAGGCACAGCCGCGCGACGUGGACGUCGCCACGCUGGCACGCCUGGAGCUGGAGAAGAAGGGGCAGUCGCUGCUGGACCAGCUGGCCUUCGUGCGCUCUUUCCUCAUCACUUCUGCCAGAACAGAAGGGUUGCCCCGUCUCUGUUCCACAUCUCCUUUAAGAGCUCUGGUGGUGUGUUAAUGGAGGAAGUUUACAAGUCCCAGAAAAGGAAUACCAAAGUAUACUUGGAAUUGGAAGAGGAUGCGGCACCAUUGGAAGAUUGAACCAGUCGUUUGAAUCCAGUCAAGACAUUCCAAAGUUCACCUGUGACUAACUGAGGCCUUAAUAAAGGCAAAACCUCUGACCUUGGUCCUCUGUGUUCCCUAUCUUGUGUAAAUUAACAUUUGAACAUGAGUUAUGAAAUGCGUGACAUAUCAAAAAGGAAAGCACCUGAUACUGGGAAAUAUGCAUAUAGAUGAGAGGAAGGAAAGAAUUCAAUGAAUGCUAAAUUAUGGGUCUACAGAGGGCUGCCUUUGUUAAAUUGACAUGUCCCUAUCUAUAAACCCCAGAGUAUUCAAUGGAAGGUAUAAGGGGCAAGUGUACCUGGAAAACCUCCCUUUAAGAAAAAAAAAUCUUCGUGAUAGAAAGACUUUAUAAAAUAUUAGAUGAAAAUACCCCUUUCAAAAUGUGUUUGUUUUGUAGUGCCCCCCUUUCUGGCUUCUCUGCAUACUUAAAAGUCAUCACCACCUUGAGUAGAUUGCUUGCUUUUAAAAAGACAUUACACCUUUCCUAGUUCUGACACAGAGCUACCAGACCUGCAUUUUGAAAUGUCUUAUUGUCAUCACCAUAAGCAUUUCUGUGAAGGAAAGCAAAGCCAAACAAAGCCAAAUACACACACACACACACACACACACAUUUUUUUUCUAAUCCACUCAACAACAAUGCAUCCAGGACACCCUCUAUGGCCCAGGUUUCAGGGCUACAGAUGCCUGUAGACAGAAAGCUAUUUCGAGCAUUGAAAACAGCCUUAUUACCCUGCCAUUUUUGCACUGUUUUUUUUCCCCCUUCCCUGUGACAUUAGAGAGUCCGAAGUGACAUACAUUUUUUAUAGCUUCAUAAAGUCGUCUCCUGACCGGGUCACCCUUCUCAUAACUAGGGAGCAGAACGCUUGAAAAAACCCAUUCAUCAAUGUGAAAGCAGCCUCUGUCUGCGGGUUCCAAUACGCACAGUCUGGCAAGAUCCAGCUCAGUGCAAAUGUGAACUUACUCCUUUGCUAAUGCCAAAUGACCCACUCACUUCUAUCAGCACACUGAGGAGGACACGAAGGGCAAGGUGGCCAUACACAUCUGCACAAGUGCUUCUUGACAGAGCUCAGCACCCAGCCUUCUUGCUAAAUGUACUGCACACAUUCAAAAAUUAGUUUUAUAUUUAUACUAAUUAAAUAUUCAAUUAAACAAAGAUAAAAUGAUGGACGGAAAUUUAUUCUUGCCUAAUGAACUAUAGCCCAUUUAUUACUUUUCACAGAUAUACCAUUAAAGUUCUGAUGAAAAAUUGCUGGAAUGGUUACCCUCCUUUUUAUUUCUUUAAAUGUUUUCCUCUAUGCUUUGUUUAGACAUUCAAACACAGAAUAGCCUAUCCAGGCAUGACAGGUAGGUAAAAGAAGAUAGAGAAGGUGGAACCAAGAGAAAACGGUUAUUCCUUAAAAUUUCUGUGAUUGGCAGAAAUUUCCUCCAUUAAAGCAGAAGACCUUUCAAGGGCUCUCUCCUGUGGAAUUUAAUGGUGUGAUUCAGGGACAUGCAGUCUUAUAUGUACUUGUCAUGGAUGUUAGCUCUGUUAAAAUUGAGGUCUUCUGACAGGUGCAACCAACCCUCAGGUCAGAAUGAAUAGAACAUUUCACCCCCACCCCUGCACAUGAUUUCCUGAGUUUCUGUACUGAGCCUUCCAGUUUUAGAAACCUGAAUUCGAAUUUGAGUUAGGAUGACAUAUGAAUAAAGCAUGACGAGUCACACUUUGGAAAUCUGUUUUUGAGAUUAUUGCU